UACGGAGGAUGCAAGCGUUAUCCGGAAUUAUUGGGCGUAAAGAGCUCGUAGGCGGUUUGUCGCGUCGAAUGUGAAAACCCGGGGCUCAACCCCGGGCCUGCAUUCGAUACGGGCAGACUAGAGUUCGGUAGGGGAGUCUGGAAUUCCUGGUGUAGCGGUGAAAUGCGCAGAUAUCAGGAGGAACACCGGUGGCGAAGGCGGGACUCUGGGCCGAUACUGACGCUGAGGAGCGAAAGCGUGGGGAGCGAACAGG
RNAcentral lists this ribosomal RNA (253 nucleotides) under uncultured bacterium. RNAcentral describes it as "partial 16S ribosomal RNA". It matches the Rfam family "Bacterial small subunit ribosomal RNA", at positions 524 to 776 of the family's 1533-position model. The record is from RNAcentral.